GCCUUGGUAGUCUAGUGGUUAAGACUUGGCGCUGUCACUCCCAUGGCCUGGGUUCAUUUCCCAGUCAGGGAA
RNAcentral lists this transfer RNA (72 nucleotides) under Equus caballus (horse). It matches the Rfam family "tRNA". Rfam says of the family: Transfer RNA (tRNA) molecules are approximately 80 nucleotides in length. Their secondary structure includes four short double-helical elements and three loops (D, anti-codon, and T loops). Lineage: Eukaryota; Metazoa; Chordata; Mammalia; Perissodactyla; Equidae. The record is from Rfam by way of RNAcentral.